This 255-nucleotide ribosomal RNA is filed under the name Massilia eburnea. Its description in RNAcentral is "partial 16S ribosomal RNA". It matches the Rfam family "Bacterial small subunit ribosomal RNA", at positions 881 to 1140 of the family's 1533-position model. The record is from RNAcentral. Lineage: Bacteria; Pseudomonadati; Pseudomonadota; Betaproteobacteria; Burkholderiales; Oxalobacteraceae.
UACGGUCGCAAGAUUAAAACUCAAAGGAAUUGACGGGGACCCGCACAAGCGGUGGAUGAUGUGGAUUAAUUCGAUGCAACGCGAAAAACCUUACCUACCCUUGACAUGGCAGGAAUCCCGGAGAGAUCUGGGAGUGCUCGAAAGAGAACCUGCACACAGGUGCUGCAUGGCUGUCGUCAGCUCGUGUCGUGAGAUGUUGGGUUAAGUCCCGCAACGAGCGCAACCCUUGUCAUUAGUUGCUACGCAAGAGCACUC